RNAcentral lists this ribosomal RNA (434 nucleotides) under Halomonas sp. C. RNAcentral's name for it is "bacterial SSU rRNA". It matches the Rfam family "Bacterial small subunit ribosomal RNA", at positions 958 to 1392 of the family's 1533-position model. Lineage: Bacteria; Pseudomonadati; Pseudomonadota; Gammaproteobacteria; Oceanospirillales; Halomonadaceae. The record is from RNAcentral.
AACGCGAAGAACCUUACCUACUCUUGACAUCGAGCGAACUUUCCAGAGAUGGAUGGGUGCCUUCGGGAACGCUCAGACAGGUGCUGCAUGGCCGUCGUCAGCUCGUGUUGUGAAAUGUUGGGUUAAGUCCCGUAACGAGCGCAACCCUUGUCCCUAUUUGCCAGCGAUUCGGUCGGGAACUCUAGGGAGACUGCCGGUGACAAACCGGAGGAAGGUGGGGACGACGUCAGGUCAUCAUGGCCCUUACGAGUAGGGCUACACACGUGCUACAAUAACCGGUACAAUGGGCUGCAAUCCCGCGAGGGGGAGCUAAUCUCAUAAAGCCGGUCUCAGUCCGGAUCGGAGUCUGCAACUCGACUCCGUGAAGUCGGAAUCGCUAGUAAUCGUGAAUCAGAAUGCCACGGUGAAUACGUUCCCGGGUCUUGUACACACCG